This 1959-nucleotide long non-coding RNA is filed under the name Dasypus novemcinctus (nine-banded armadillo). RNAcentral describes it as "lncRNA (ENSDNOG00000051957.1)". Lineage: Eukaryota; Metazoa; Chordata; Mammalia; Cingulata; Dasypodidae. The record is from RNAcentral.
CAGUGAUAAACAUGAACUAAAGAAUCAGGUAUACCUGCAGAUUCUCUUGUAAGGGGUUGGGUCCAUUGCUGCCCCAUAAGCUGAAACGAUUUAGAACAAACGAUGCACUUGCCCAGGAAUGGAAAGAGUUUUCAACCAUUAUUAUAAGUACAUUUGUCCAAGAGAAGAGGCCAGAAGAGAUAUUCUACAUUAAGAUGGCAGUAAAUCCCUCCUUUGUAAAAAGAGGGAAGUCAAUGGCCACUGACGCCAUUGCAAGGUAGCCUUCAAUUUAAAAUUGUUGUUGACCCUGCCUUGAGCUGACAUUGUUGUCUUUGGGGUAAGGCACAAAUGCAGGAAAAUCAAAAUGCUCUUGUUUUCAUUUUUAGAAGAAAAAAACCUGAAAAUGCUACCUAAGCCUGCAACUAGGACUGGUAGAAGAAGGAGAGCUGGUGGGGUGUAAUGGGAGAAAGUGGCCGUCAGGCCGCCUGACCGUAGCCUUCGCGCUGCAAAUCUGGUUUUCAUAUUCUCGCUCAGUAAUCACCCAAAGCCGUAACUGUCUCUGAAAUUAUUCAUUAAAGUCAUUUUCAGGGGUUCUCGCAGGGCGACUCUUUCACAUUUAUGAUCUCCUGAGAGCUAUGACAAGCCUCUGUCUUUUUCCCCCCUUUAAUUGAUGUGCUGGGAAGAGGAGAGGGGCAGUGGCUGCGUACGUGGGGAGGGGGCGGGGACGGGGGUGGAAUCCGCGGGCCGGUCUGCUCCUGGCCGGGUCAGCUGAGCUCCGGCGCGCAGACAUCCUUUGAUUAAGGAGGGUAUUUCGAGGAGUGCAGGCUGUGCAGAAGAUCACGGCUGUGCCCUGUGGUGCUGUCAGCAGUGACAGAUCCCAGAUGGGGCCGCUACUGUAUGGCAGAUUGAGUUUCUCAGCAGAAAACUAGCCCUCCCUCCUAAACGUCUUCAAAAACCUUCUCCAGAUCCUCCAGGUCGCUUCGUGUGAACUGAAAAAUUCCAACCCCCAAGUUGGUUUGGCGUGCCUGUGUGAAUGUUAGGUUUUGGUUUUUUUUAAAUCUCCCCUUCUUUUUUCCCUGCACAUCCUCCGCCUCUGAGCAUCUUCGCCCUGCAGGGCUAUCCGGCUGCAAAGAGCGCAGCUUUGCGGGCCUGGGGGAUCUCUUCGCCCGCCCCGCAGCGCCGACGACCCUGCAUCGAGGGGCCGCGAAGGCAAUCCGGCCCACACACGAGAUUCCCCUAAGGGGAUCCGCUCCACUCAACUCCACAGACUGGAACACAGCGCGCUUCCUCCUGCCAACCUGGGCCUGGGCGAUGAAGGAGACAGCUCCAGCUGACCUGGUUAACACAAGCAGCACAUCACUGGGACCUCUACCCCACCGGGCUCCUUUCCUGCCCCUCGAGGGCGAAGUUGAGCUGAACCCACCCGACCAAGUCCAGAUCGCUCCAGAUCGCCAGGAGCAGAGCCAUCUCGGAGGUCCGAGAUCAGAGAGGCGGAUCCUCAUGCUCCGGGUGAAUUAAUUCUGGGCAAAGGGGCGGCUUUGGGUCGUGCCUGGUCCGCGUGACCACGGGCAGGGCCGGGAGGCUGAGUCUUGGCGGCUCGCGGGGGCUCCCCCACGUGGAAUCCCCCUUCCCCAAAGUGCCUUAGCCCUGGGGCUGGACGACAGCUAGAGCGGAUCGGGGGGUCGCCCACCCGGCGGUGUUACGGCCGCAGGCGUGACUCUUUCCCCUGACUGCAUGGAAUUAUCCAUAGGCACAGAGACCUGCCGCGUGGCGCGCGCCCGGGCGUCGCCGGCCUAGGAGCUGCGGGAGCUCGGCUCUGCCACCCCAGGGGGGAGCCCUGCGUGGCGCCGCCCGCCCGGCGUCACUCCUCUUCCCGCCCGCUCGUCGGGGCUUUCCCGCUUCUGGGUUCCCUCCCUGUUCUCGGGAGGGAAAAGCCGUUCCCGGGGGGGACCCGAGUCCUUCAUUCCGCUCGUUCAGGCC